Molecule: non-coding RNA, 270 nt
Organism: Microcebus murinus (gray mouse lemur)
Lineage: Eukaryota; Metazoa; Chordata; Mammalia; Primates; Cheirogaleidae
Source: RefSeq, a predicted model, not a curated record
CUGAGCCUUAUAAAGUGAAAAGCUUUCUCAAGGUCCUUCAGUAAAGUUGGAGCUACAAUUUGGAUAUAAUCCUUCUUCUCUCAGAAGAGUCUCCAGUGAUUACUGACCAUGGAAAUGUUUGAAGAUGCAUAGGCAAUAUGUUCAAGAUGAGGAGUUCCCACUCUAUUCAUGCUUUUGUGAGUAUACUAUAUAUGCCUGUAGCUAUAAACAAUAUCUCUUCUAAAUUGAGCUUAUGUUUUAAAUGGAAUUAAAGGAGAUGUAUAUUUUUAA